Non-coding RNA from Prunus avium (sweet cherry), 253 nucleotides. NCBI's taxonomy places the organism in Eukaryota, Viridiplantae, Streptophyta, Magnoliopsida, Rosales, Rosaceae. The record is from RefSeq and is a predicted model, not a curated record.
CUCGCGAACUAUCAAUCUAUUUGUCUAUCAUCUUCUACUUGUAUGGUCUGAAAGAAAUGGAUCGACAUUACUCCUAGGUUUUGAGUAAUGGAAGGUAUAAGAGCGUGCACCACAGGGCAGUGACCAACAAAGUUGAGCCAAGGUUGUCAUUAGCAAUGGACCCAACAAGUACACAGUCAUUGGUCCAAUUGAGGAUUUGAUUGACGAGGAACACCCUCCAUUGUACCGGAGCUAUAAGUAUGCAGAGUUUUUU